AGCAGCCGCGGUAAUUCCAGCUCCAAUAGCGUAUAUUAAAGUUGUUGCAGUUAAAAAGCUCGUAGUUGAAUUUCGGGAUCAAUAUAUCGGUCGUGCUUCGGUAUGUACUGGUAUUAUUGAUUUCUCCCUUCUGACGAACUAUGAUGUCAUUAAUUUGGUGUUAUAGGGAAUCAGGACUGUUACUUUGAAAAAUUAGAGUGUUUAAAGCAGGCACACGCUUGAAUACAUUAGCAUGGAAUAAUGAAAUAGGACGUUUGAUCUUAUUUUGUUGGUUUCUAGGAUCGACGUAAUGAUUAAUAGGGAUAGUUGGGGCAUUAGUAUUCAAUUGUCAGAGGUGAAAUUCUUGGAUUUAUUGAAGACUAACUACUGCGAAAGCAUUUGCCAAGGAUGUUUUCAUUAAUCAAGAACGAAAGUUAGGGGAUCGAAGACGAUCAGAUACCGUCGUAGUCU
This 450-nucleotide ribosomal RNA is filed under the name uncultured Glomeromycotina. Its description in RNAcentral is "SSU rRNA". It matches the Rfam family "Eukaryotic small subunit ribosomal RNA", at positions 569 to 1026 of the family's 1831-position model. Lineage: Eukaryota; Fungi; Glomeromycota. The record is from RNAcentral.